CAGCCGUAAACUAUGCGCGUUAGGUGUAUCGGUGACCACGAGUUACCGAGGUGCCGAAGGGAAACCGUGAAACGUGCCGCCUGGGAAGUACGGUCGCAAGGCUGAAACUUAAAGGAAUUGGCGGGGGAGGCACCACAACAGGUGGAGCCUGCGGGUUUAAUUGGACUCAACGCCGGGAAGCUCACCGGAUAGGACAGCAGAAUGAUUGUCGGGCUGAAGACCCUGCAUGACUAGCUGAGAGGAGGUGCAUGGCGUAGACGUCU
This 263-nucleotide ribosomal RNA is filed under the name uncultured archaeon. RNAcentral describes it as "partial 16S ribosomal RNA". It matches the Rfam family "Archaeal small subunit ribosomal RNA", at positions 748 to 1009 of the family's 1478-position model. The record is from RNAcentral.